UACAGAGGUCUCAAGCGUUGUUCGGAUUCAUUGGGCGUAAAGCGUGCGCAGGCGGUCUUGCAAGACAGAUGUGAAAUCCCCGGGCUCAACCUGGGAACUGCAUUUGUGACUGCAAGGCUGGAGUGCGGCAGAGGGGGAUGGAAUUCCGCGUGUAGCAGUGAAAUGCGUAGAUAUGCGGAGGAACACCGAUGGCGAAGGCAAUCCCCUGGGCCUGCACUGACGCUCAUGCACGAAAGCGUGGGGAGCAAACAGG
This 253-nucleotide ribosomal RNA is filed under the name uncultured prokaryote. RNAcentral's name for it is "partial 16S ribosomal RNA". It matches the Rfam family "Bacterial small subunit ribosomal RNA", at positions 524 to 776 of the family's 1533-position model. The record is from RNAcentral.